RNAcentral lists this long non-coding RNA (920 nucleotides) under Triticum aestivum (bread wheat). RNAcentral's name for it is "long non-coding RNA (TAES_LNC019236)". The record is from RNAcentral. Lineage: Eukaryota; Viridiplantae; Streptophyta; Magnoliopsida; Poales; Poaceae.
AUCCCGAGCUAUCCGGAGGAGCUUUUCUCCUAAAACUGUACAAUACAGAUCAAGGGUUUAACUUAUGAUUGAGGAACAAUGAUCUGAAUACGACAAUAAGGCGUUGUGGCAUUACCAGAGUAUGUCCACCCAAGAGUGCUUCUAUGUCCUUGUUGGUUAAGUCCAUUCAGUAGAUGAAAUCCCUAAGGUGUGAAGCACCUGGUCAGAUGAUAACAUAUGCACUGAAUUAUUAUUUACUUCCCACAACUGAACUAUCACUGGCUGAAAACAGGAAAAAAAAUGUGCAUGAACUGAAAAAGCAUUACCUCACGUUCCAGCUCAAGCCAAAUGUUCUUCUCUACGCUCCUUUUCUCCAUCAUGCGAUAGGCUGUACUGCUGCAAUCUAUCUGCUCUCCAAAAUUUUCAAAUCUGCUAGGAACAAGUUCUAAACAAAAUAUUCAGAGAAAAAGACAGUUAGACAGGAACAUAGCACUGUCCUUUCUAGUUUCUACGGACUCUGGUUUUAACAAACAAGCUGAGUAACUUAUAAAGUUGCUAUCUUUGCACAGAAUAAUCACUGUUAUACCAAUAAAACAGAACAAACUAUUAAUUGAAGCAUCAGUACACCCUAUCAGGAGGUGUACAGCCUACUUACUCAUCUGCUACUUCAGUACAGACAGGUUCUUCUGCAACAGUAGCUACAUCUUCUGACUCUUGUUUCUCAGAUGGAGCAGCUUGGUUGUUCUUACCGUGCAUUGCCUACAAGCCGUCAAAAUCAAUUAGCCCAAUGCAAACGAGCAGUAAUAUAUGCAUAAAUGUGGGAGAACCCCAGAGUUCUUUCACAUAAAAAGUAAAGGAGCAAAUUUAAUCGAUCUAUUCAACCAGAGCAAUUCAUCCGAAAGGGACCGUUACAAUUAUGUUGUACAUACUACUACACAGCA